This 1017-nucleotide ribosomal RNA is filed under the name uncultured bacterium. Its description in RNAcentral is "bacterial SSU rRNA". It matches the Rfam family "Bacterial small subunit ribosomal RNA", at positions 355 to 1375 of the family's 1533-position model. The record is from RNAcentral.
UGAGGAAUAUUGGUCAAUGGGCGCGAGCCUGAACCAGCCAAGUAGCGUGAAGGAUGAAGGUCCUACGGAUUGUAAACUUCUUUUAUAAGGGAAUAAAGUCACCCACGUGUGGGUGUUUGUAUGUACCUUAUGAAUAAGCAUCGGCUAACUCCGUGCCAGCAGCCGCGGUAAUACGGAGGAUGCGAGCGUUAUCCGGAUUUAUUGGGUUUAAAGGGAGCGUAGACGGGCCGUUAAGUCAGUUGUGAAAGUUUGCGGCUCAACCGUAAAAUUGCAGUUGAUACUGGGUGUCUUGAGUACAGUAGAGGCAGGCGGAAUUCGUGGUGUAGCGGUGAAAUGCUUAGAUAUCACGAAGAACUCCGAUUGCGAAGGCAGCUUGCUGGACUGUAACUGACGCUGAUGCUCGAAAGUGUGGGUAUCAAACAGGAUUAGAUACCCUGGUAGUCCACACAGUAAACGAUGAAUACUCGCUGUUUGCGAUAUACAGUAAGCGGCCAAGCGAAAGCGUUAAGUAUUCCACCUGGGGAGUACGCCGGCAACGGUGAAACUCAAAGGAAUUGACGGGGGCCCGCACAAGCGGAGGAACAUGUGGUUUAAUUCGAUGAUACGCGAGGAACCUUACCCGGGCUUGAAUUGCAACUGAAUGAUGUGGAGACAUGUCAGCCGCAAGGCAGUUGUGAAGGUGCUGCAUGGUUGUCGUCAGCUCGUGCCGUGAGGUGUCGGCUUAAGUGCCAUAACGAGCGCAACCCUUAUCGAUAGUUACCAUCAGGUUAUGCUGGGGACUCUGUCGAGACUGCCGUCGUAAGAUGUGAGGAAGGUGGGGAUGACGUCAAAUCAGCACGGCCCUUACGUCCGGGGCUACACACGUGUUACAAUGGGGGGUACAGAAGGCAGCUACACGGCGACGUGAUGCUAAUCCCGAAAGCCUCUCUCAGUUCGGAUUGGAGUCUGCAACCCGACUCCAUGAAGCUGGAUUCGCUAGUAAUCGCGCAUCAGCCACGGCGCGGUGAAUACGUUCCC